GACGAGUCUCACAAACGUUAUUCGGAAUUACUGGGCUUAAAGGGUGCGUAGGCGGUGGAGUAAGUCGGGUGUGAAAUACCAUAGCUUAACUAUGGAACUGCACUCGAUACUACUUUGCUAGAGUAAGACAGAGGUGAGUGGAACUGAGGGUGGAGCGGUGAAAUGCGUUGAUAUCCUCAGGAACACCGGUGGCGAAGGCGACUCACUGGGUCUUUACUGACGCUGAUGCCCGAAAGCUAGGGUAGCAAACGGG
Molecule: ribosomal RNA, 253 nt
Filed under: uncultured bacterium
Lineage: Bacteria
Description: partial 16S ribosomal RNA
Rfam family: Bacterial small subunit ribosomal RNA
Source: RNAcentral